RNAcentral lists this ribosomal RNA (468 nucleotides) under uncultured bacterium. RNAcentral's name for it is "partial 16S ribosomal RNA". It matches the Rfam family "Bacterial small subunit ribosomal RNA", at positions 28 to 507 of the family's 1533-position model. The record is from RNAcentral.
GACGAACGCUGGCGGCGUGCUUAACACAUGCAAGUCGAACGGAAAGGCCCUGCUUUUGUGGGGUGCUCGAGUGGCGAACGGGUGAGUAACACGUGAGUAACCUGCCCUUGACUUUGGGAUAACUUCAGGAAACUGGGGCUAAUACCUGAGAGGAGCUCCUGCUGCAUGGUGGGGGUUGGAAAGUUUCGGCGGUUGGGGAUGGACUCGCGGCUUAUCAGCUUGUUGGUGGGGGAGUGGCUUACCAAGGCUUUGACGGGUAGCCGGCCUGAGAGGGUGACCGGCCACAUUGGGACUGAGAUACGGACCAGACCCCUACGGGAGGCAGCAGUGGAGAAUAUUGCACAAUGGGCGGAAGCCUGAUGCGGCAACGCCGCGAGCGGGAUGACGGCCUUCGGGUUGUAAACCGCUUUCGCCUGUGACGAAGCGUGAGUGACGGUAAUGGGUAAAGAAGCACCGGCUAACUACGUG